CACGUAGGGUGCGAGCGUUGUCCGGAAUUAUUGGGCGUAAAGAGCUCGUAGGCGGUGUGUCGCGUCAGCCGUGAAAACCUGCAGCUUAACUGUGGGCUUGCGGUCGAUACGGGCAUCACUGGAGUUCGGCAGGGGAGACUGGAAUUCCUGGUGUGGCGGUGAAAUGCGCAGAUAUCAGGAGGAACACCGGUGGCGAAGGCAGCAUACUGGGCCUGUACUGACGCUGAGACGCGAAAGCGUGGGGAGCAAACGGG
RNAcentral lists this ribosomal RNA (254 nucleotides) under uncultured bacterium. RNAcentral's name for it is "partial 16S ribosomal RNA". It matches the Rfam family "Bacterial small subunit ribosomal RNA", at positions 524 to 776 of the family's 1533-position model. The record is from RNAcentral.